AGGAAAUAUGCCGGUUUGAACUGUGCAAACUGUGCAGGCUUUAGGUAGAAAUGGUAGAUGGGUCUGGAAGGCAAGGUGUAAGGCGGACCAAUGGGCAGAACCCUGAUACCUCCCUUCCUUUCUGAGAACAGGACAACCUUAGUUUCUAAAGAGGACCUACACAUCCUGCCCCUGGGCUGCAGGGUUUGUGCUUAUAUUCUGAUUGUAACUCUGCAGAGCUGUGGGACUUUGCUCAGGACCUAUACCCUGCAUUUUGAUUUCUGUGGGCCCCUGUGCAGCUCCAAUCUUUUGUAGAAAGUCUGUGGAGUCCAGAAUCCAGUCCAGAAACAACCUUCAAGGACCCACACACACCUUCUUUUCCUCUCUCUGGGACUCACAGACAGCUGGACUACAGCUGGACAGAGUCAAGGACAUGGGCUGCGAGUGCAGAUUAAACCUCUCCGCCCCACCCCCACCCCCGCCCUGCCUUAAGCUGAGCAGAAUAAUGAGCAAAGGAAUAUAGGAGCAUUUCUCUAAAGAAAUUCUGGUGCCAAAAGCAAAGCACAGACUGUCUGAGCCAGAUCCUUGCAGUACAAAACAGCAUGUACGCUACAGUAGGCAAGACGCUGCAUUCCCGGACACAAAUAGAGACAACCAGGAGGAGGUUGUACCUAGGUAAGGACACUGGCCCACCCCAGACAGCAGGAUUUUGCAGUUUUAGAGGGUUUUUCCCAACUUUUGCUGAUCCGUGCUAAGUGAUCUACAAUGAUUAUUUCUAUAAAAUAAAUAAAAUAGAAACUCCGCC
RNAcentral lists this long non-coding RNA (784 nucleotides) under Mus musculus (house mouse). Its description in RNAcentral is "RIKEN cDNA 1700072I22 gene, transcript variant 2 (1700072I22Rik)". Lineage: Eukaryota; Metazoa; Chordata; Mammalia; Rodentia; Muridae. The record is from RNAcentral.